Molecule: ribosomal RNA, 265 nt
Filed under: uncultured archaeon
Lineage: Archaea
Description: partial 16S ribosomal RNA
Rfam family: Archaeal small subunit ribosomal RNA
Source: RNAcentral
CAGCCGUAAAACUAUGCGCGUUAGGUGUAUCGGUGACCACGAGUCACCGAGGUGCCGAAGGGAAACCGUGAAACGUCGCCGCCUGGGAAGUACGGUCGCAAGGCUGAAAACUUUAAAGGAAUUGGGCGGGGGAGCACCACAACGGGUGGAGCCCUGCGGUUUAAUUGGACUCAACGCCGGGAAGCUCACCGGAUAAGACAGCGGAAUGAUUGCCGGGCUGAAGACUCUGCAUGACUAGCUGAGAGGAGUGCAUGGCGUAGACGUC